RNAcentral lists this ribosomal RNA (206 nucleotides) under uncultured bacterium. Its description in RNAcentral is "partial 16S ribosomal RNA". It matches the Rfam family "Bacterial small subunit ribosomal RNA", at positions 334 to 556 of the family's 1533-position model. The record is from RNAcentral.
UACUCCUACGGGAGGCAGCAGUCGGGAAUAUUGCGCAAUGGAGGAAACUCUGACGCAGUGACGCCGCGUAUAGGAAGAAGGUUUUCGGAUUGUAAACUAUUGUCGUUAGGGAAGAAAAAAGACAGUACCUAAGGAGGAAGCUCCGGCUAACUACGUGCCAGCAGCCGCGGUAAUACGUAGGGAGCAAGCGUUAUCCGGAUUUAUUG